GAACGCGAAGAACCUUACCAGGUCUUGACAUCCCUCUGACCGCUCUAGAGAUAGAGUUUUCCUUCGGGACAGAGGUGACAGGUGGUGCAUGGUUGUCGUCAGCUCGUGUCGUGAGAUGUUGGGUUAAGUCCCGCAACGAGCGCAACCCCUAUUGUUAGUUGCCAUCAUUGAGUUGGGCACUCUAGCGAGACUGCCGGUAAUAAACCGGAGGAAGGUGGGGAUGACGUCAAAUCAUCAUGCCCCUUAUGACCUGGGCUACACACGCGCUACAAUGGCUGGUACAACGAGUCGCGAGUCGGUGACGGCAAGCUAAUCUCUUAAAGCCAGUCUCAGUUCGGAUUGUAGGCUGCAACUCGCCUACAUGAAGUCGGAAUCGCUAGUAAUCGCGGAUCAGCACGCCGCGGUGAAUACGUUCCCGGGUCUUGUACACACC
RNAcentral lists this ribosomal RNA (433 nucleotides) under uncultured bacterium. Its description in RNAcentral is "bacterial SSU rRNA". It matches the Rfam family "Bacterial small subunit ribosomal RNA", at positions 957 to 1391 of the family's 1533-position model. The record is from RNAcentral.